UUUAUGGAGAGUUUGAUCCUGGCUCAGGAUGAACGCUGGCGGCGUGCCUAAUACAUGCAAGUCGAGCGAACGGACGAGAAGCUUGCUUCUCUGAUGUUAGCGGCGGACGGGUGAGUAACACGUGGAUAACCUACCUAUAAGACUGGGAUAACUUCGGGAAACCGGAGCUAAUACCGGAUAAUAUUUUGAACCGCAUGGUUCAAAAGUGAAAGACGGUCUUGCUGUCACUUAUAGAUGGAUCCGCGCUGCAUUAGCUAGUUGGUAAGGUAACGGCUUACCAAGGCAACGAUGCAUAGCCGACCUGAGAGGGUGAUCGGCCACACUGGAACUGAGACACGGUCCAGACUCCUACGGGAGGCAGCAGUAGGGAAUCUUCCGCAAUGGGCGAAAGCCUGACGGAGCAACGCCGCGUGAGUGAUGAAGGUCUUCGGAUCGUAAAACUCUGUUAUUAGGGAAGAACAUAUGUGUAAGUAACUGUGCACAUCUUGACGGUACCUAAUCAGAAAGCCACGGCUAACUACGUGCCAGCAGCCGCGGUAAUACGUAGGUGGCAAGCGUUAUCCGGAAUUAUUGGGCGUAAAGCGCGCGUAGGCGGUUUUUUAAGUCUGAUGUGAAAGCCCACGGCUCAACCGUGGAGGGUCAUUGGAAACUGGGAGACUUGAGUGCAGAAGAGGAAAGUGGAAUUCCAUGUGUAGCGGUGAAAUGCGUAGAGAUAUGGAGGAACACCAGUGGCGAAGGCGACUUUCUGGUCUGUAACUGACACUGAGGCGCGAAAGCGUGGGGAGCAAACAGGAUUAGAUACCCUGGUAGUCCACGCCGUAAACGAUGAGUGCUAAGUGUUAGAGGGUUUCCGCCCUUUAGUGCUGAAGUUAACGCAUUAAGCACUCCGCCUGGGGAGUACGGCCGCAAGGCUGAAACUCAAAGGAAUUGACGGGGGCCCGCACAAGCGGUGGAGCAUGUGGUUUAAUUCGAAGCAACGCGAAGAACCUUACCAGGUCUUGACAUCCUCUGAAAACCCUAGAGAUAGGGGCUUCUCCUUCGGGAGCAGAGUGACAGGUGGUGCAUGGUUGUCGUCAGCUCGUGUCGUGAGAUGUUGGGUUAAGUCCCGCAACGAGCGCAACCCUUGAUCUUAGUUGCCAUCAUUAAGUUGGGCACUCUAAGGUGACUGCCGGUGACAAACCGGAGGAAGGUGGGGAUGACGUCAAAUCAUCAUGCCCCUUAUGACCUGGGCUACACACGUGCUACAAUGGACGGUACAAAGAGCUGCAAGACCGCGAGGUGGAGCUAAUCUCAUAAAACCGUUCUCAGUUCGGAUUGUAGGCUGCAACUCGCCUACAUGAAGCUGGAAUCGCUAGUAAUCGUAGAUCAGCAUGCUACGGUGAAUACGUUCCCGGGUCUUGUACACACCGCCCGUCACACCACGAGAGUUUGUAACACCCGAAGCCGGUGGAGUAACCUUUUAGGAGCUAGCCGUCGAAGGUGGGACAAAUGAUUGGGGUGAAGUCGUAACAAGGUAGCCGUAUCGGAAGGUGCGGCUGGAUCACCUCCUUU
RNAcentral lists this ribosomal RNA (1551 nucleotides) under Staphylococcus aureus. Its description in RNAcentral is "16S ribosomal RNA". It matches the Rfam family "Bacterial small subunit ribosomal RNA". The record is from RNAcentral. Lineage: Bacteria; Bacillati; Bacillota; Bacilli; Caryophanales; Staphylococcaceae.